CAGUAGCCACGGUAAUACGUAGGUGGCAAGCGUUGUCCGGAAUUAUUGGGCGCAAAGGGCUCGCAGGCGGUUUCUUAAGUCUGAUGUGAAAGCCCCCGGCUCAACCGGGGAGGGUCAUUGGAAACUGGGAAACUUGAGUGCAGAAGAGGAGAGUGGAAUUCCACGUGUAGCGGUGAAAUGCGUAGAGAUGUGGAGGAACACCAGUGGCGAAGGCGACUCUCUGGUCUGUAACUGACGCUGAGGAGCGAAAGCGUGGGGAGCGAACAGGAUUAGAUACCCGCGUAGUCCCUGUCUCUUAUAC
Molecule: ribosomal RNA, 301 nt
Filed under: uncultured bacterium
Lineage: Bacteria
Description: partial 16S ribosomal RNA
Rfam family: Bacterial small subunit ribosomal RNA
Source: RNAcentral